This 381-nucleotide long non-coding RNA is filed under the name Homo sapiens (human). Its description in RNAcentral is "HSALNT0166574". Lineage: Eukaryota; Metazoa; Chordata; Mammalia; Primates; Hominidae. The record is from RNAcentral.
GGUUUCACCAUGUUGGCCAGGCUGGUCUUGAACUCCUGACUUAAGGUGAUCCGCCCGCCUCGGUCUCCUAAAAUGCCACAUUACAGGCGUGAGCCAUUGCGCCCAUCCUCACUUAAGUGGCAAAUAGGCUUACACCUUUAGGUUGUUCUGGUUUUCUUUUCUUUCUUUCGUUUCCUUCCUUUCUAGCUUCCUUCUUUUUUUUCUUCUUUUCUUUUUUUGAGGCAGGGUAUCACUCUGUGACUCAAGCUGGAGUGCAGUGGCACAAUCAUGGCUCACUGCAGCCUCGACCUCAUGGGCUCAAGUGAUCCUCCUACCUCAGCCCCCUGAGUAGCUGGGACUACAGGUGUGUGACACCAUGCACAGCUGGCUAAUUUUUAAAUU